GCCUGACGGAGCGACACCGCGUGCAGGAUGAAGGCCUUCGGGUUGUAAACUGCUGUCAGGUUCUAGGAACAAACCGGUGUUAACAGCGCCGGUACUGACCAAGACCAAAGGAAGCAGCGGCUAACUCUGUGCCAGCAGCCGCGGUAAGACAGAGGUUGCAAACGUUGUUCGGAAUUACUGGGCAUAAAGCGCACGUAGGUGGUCCGCUAAGUCGGAUGUGAAAUUCCCCGGCUCAACCGGGGAACGGUAAUCGAUACUGGCGGGCUUGAGGUCCGGAGGGGUGAGUGGAACUCCUGGUGGAGCGGUGAAAUGCGUAGAUAUCAGGAGGAACACCAGUGGCGAAAGCGGCUCACUGGCCGGAAUCUGACACUGAGGUGCGAAAGCUAGGGUAGCAAACGGGAUCAGAUACCCCGGUAGUCCUAGCCGUAAACGAUGGGCACUUGGCAGGGGGGUAACCUAUGGUCCUCUCUGCCAAAGCAAAUGUGUUAAGUGCCCCGCCUGGGGAGUACGCUCGCAAGGGUA
This 522-nucleotide ribosomal RNA is filed under the name uncultured Planctomycetota bacterium. RNAcentral's name for it is "bacterial SSU rRNA". It matches the Rfam family "Bacterial small subunit ribosomal RNA", at positions 381 to 896 of the family's 1533-position model. Lineage: Bacteria; Pseudomonadati; Planctomycetota. The record is from RNAcentral.